RNAcentral lists this ribosomal RNA (348 nucleotides) under uncultured bacterium. Its description in RNAcentral is "bacterial SSU rRNA". It matches the Rfam family "Bacterial small subunit ribosomal RNA", at positions 8 to 349 of the family's 1533-position model. The record is from RNAcentral.
AGAGUUUGAUCAUGGCUCAGGAUUAACGCUGGCGGCGUGCCUAAUACAUGCAAGUCGAGCGAGGAAAGUAGCAAUACUUUUCGAGCGGCGAACGGGUGAGUAACACGUUGGGAAUCUACCCCUGAGACCGGAAUACCUGGAAGAAAUUUCAGCUAAUGCCGGAUACGUGGUCAACACAGAAGUGAUGAUCAAUAAAAGGCGGACCUUAAAGCCGCGCUGAGGGAUGAACCUGCGGCGCAUUAGCUAGUUGGUGAGAUAAAAGCCCACCAAGGCGAGGAUGCGUAGCCGACCUGAGAGGGUGAACGGCCACACUGGAACUGAGACACGGUCCAGACUCCUACGGGAGCA